GUAGAGUAGAAUAUUUUUAAAAUUAAAAAUAAAUCUCUACUUCCUUGAUUCAUAAUUGCAUUUUAGGGUUAAGGAAUAUAGAUAUUUUCAAGAUUUUACUUCUAGAUGCUUGAACAUAAAAUGGCUUCAUUCCUAGAUUAAUCCAACUAAUAUUAAUUGAAUACAAUUGAUAACGUUUGUUAAGGACCAUAUUAUAAUACCUGUGUUACUGCGAAAGACUAACAUAUUAGCAUAGCAUUGCUUAUCAAAUGAUAUAGUUUUCUCCUCAAGAAAGCUUUGAGGGAGUAGAGCAUAGAAAACCAAAGUUUUAUGGGAGCAAUUUAGAUCAGGAAAAGUUCUGAAAAUGGGAUGAUUCUGUGGAAAACUGUAUCAGGGGAUCACCACAAAGGGCCAUGGAUUAGUUCUCAGCACCUGAUAUUGUAGCUGGCACACAGUAGGUGAUGGAUAAAUGUACAUUAACUUUUUUGGUAGUAGAAACUAUUAUAAAUCAAGUUUUGUUACCACUGUGGUGAGUUGGACAAAUUAUGAACUCUAGAAGUGUUUUCUGAAGUAGGGCUCCCAUGGCAUAACCCAAGAGAUAAUCAUCUAAUCAGAGGGUGGGAAGUUGGGUCACAUCCUGCUCUUUUUGGUCUGUCCUUAGGUGCUUGUCUCCAGUGUGACACCUUCAAUUCUGCUCCUUGCCAUGGCUGUUUUUGGUGGGACACAGUAAAUAAGACCUAGCACCAGCAGGAUAAUUUGGAGUUCAAAUGAUCAUCUGAGAAGCCUGAUCUGGAUUCCUUACAAGUCACAUUGUGAACCCUGCUUCAGCAGAGAAGCAGAAAUCGGAGCUUUGGUGAGUUUCUACUCAGCAGAGAAUGUUGCCUCGGGGAGGGAAUCUUUCCAGUCCCAGAGCAUCAUGUGAUACACAUUUCAGAUGUUUCCCUUGGUUUCUGUGGCAUCAAUACCAUCUGCUGUAUUAGGUCAGAAAAGCAGCAUGCCUGCCCAUAGCUACCCAGCUAAGCCACCUCUGCAGAGUAUGGACUCCAAGAUGGAAGAAAGAAUCCAAGCAGAGCCCAGGGCCUGGAAGAGAUCACCCUACAAGCUUGAGGCAGUAUUUUCUCCAUCCCAGGAGGGGAGCUGAACAUCAAUAUAUAGGCAAGGUUGUUUAAAAAGCUGCCCCAAAUGAGCAAAAGACAAAGAACAAACCCAGCCCUGGAAAACUAUUUCAGUGUAAGGUAAUUAAAAGUGCAUAAAAAUUCCCGAUUGUGUGAGUUUUAAUAUUUAAUGAAAUUUCUUGCUUUUAGUUUGGUCCAUCCUGAUUUACUGAACAUGGAGGUGUGACCAGAGAUAAAACAUCCUCAUGAGAAAUGCUGGGAAUCACUUAUUGAGGUACACCGGAUCAGUCCUUUCCCUGUUCUAAGAGCCCUUGGUCUCUUUUAACCAAUCAGUAUGUCUCCUAUUUGAAUGUUUUUUGAUAUUUCAAUAUAUAUUACUGUCAUUUAUAUAGUUCAGUUCAUACAUAGAUACAUACAUGUACAAUGUCAUGUAUAUAAUUUAUAUAGAAUAAAUAACAGUACAAUAUAUCUCUCUAUAUAAGUAAAUUCUUCACUCAGAUGUGAUAAAAUAAGGAAACACAAUCACAAUGGAUAAACUCCAAAAGUCAGAAUAGUUCUGCAUAGGUAAGUCACUUUCAACCUUGAGACACCAAAACCACAAAAAACAAACAAACAAAAAAAAACUUUAUUUCUUUAUAGUGUUCUGAACAUUGGUUCUUUGGGAAUUUCUGAGGGUUGUAAACCCCAGAAAAGGGGUACCGUCUGGGAGAGGGCAACCAUGUGUGCAAAUAAAACUUCCUCCUCAGAUGAAUUGAAUCUGAUAUUAUCAGCUCUCAUUUAAUCAUUUCGAUCUGCCCCAGUUCUGGUGAAGAAAGCUGCUAGGAUUGGUGAUUCCAGCAGAUUUUGAAUGUAGGAAGGUUUGGGAAGCUUCUUUACCCUCUGCCACACCACAGCAAGCACUGAAUUUAUAUAAUGCCCUUCUUCCAAGGAGAGACAGUAUUAGGUCUGGUGGGUAGAGUGCUGGGCUUGGAAUCAGAAGGAGCUGGCUUGAAAUCUAGCCCCUGACAUUUAUUGUGCGACCCUGGAUAAGUCAAUUCAUCUGUCCCUGUUUUAGACAACUCCUUUGUAUGCUUCUCCCAAGCUGGAGAUGAGUCACAAGGCUGAAGAAAUCCAAACAAGGAUCUCAAAGUAAUUCAUGUUCAUUUUGUCACGCCAUUACUGGAAGUUUGGGGCUGGUAUUUUAAUAUUCACAUUUCACAGGUAACCAAAAUGUGAAGGGAAAAAAGCAGUCACAGAGGCAGAAAGCACACAUUCUCAAGCCCCUCGCGUAUUCUUUGCCGAGCACAUUUCUUCCAGUGUGCUUCUGUAGUGUAUGGAUCUCUCCCCAGCUUUACCUCUAAUGAAAGCUGCAUUAUUCAUACAGCUGCUGAAUUCUGACAGGCAGGAGAGUGUUAGCGAAAAUGUGUUAUAUCUAUCCCACGUCAGUUGAGUUCAGUGCUGUGGAGCAAAGCAGCAACAAAAUUAAGCCAUAUUACCUCCGAAGGAAGCCUUUUCUGCUGCCACGGUAUUAUUGGGAGCAAGAUUUGUUUUCUUUUCUUCACAGACCUUCAAGCUUGCCCAUCAGGUAAUGAGGUGGACUGAAGAAAUCAACAUCAGCCUCGUCUUUGCCACCCAAGCAGUUCCCUCAAGCGCACUAUUGCUUUGUGCCGCUGCCUGAGGGACCACAUGUGUGCCUGACGUGCCUGAUUUCCUGACUGAAAACCUUACAGGCUCCUUGCCUUGCUGGGUUUUCAAUACUCCAAAGCUAUUCUUUUGCCUUUCAGAUUAGGUUCUCAUCACUCAGAAUCUUCCCUUUUCUUGGAACAGGUGAAGUCUUGUCUGAAAAAGAAUUGACAAGGGCUGGAAGAAAAACCUUCAACUUAUCCGUCCCUCAAGCUUUUUCCUUCUGAAAAUGAGGUCGUCAUAUUGUGAUGAAACGGUUCACAUGUUAAGGAAGCGCUGCCUGCAACCCCAAAUGCCAGUUUAUUCCUGCCCCCGCCAGCAGCAGCUCCAAUUCCUCAUCAGGUGAUUUGACUUCAGAGCAAGUCUGGGAGGAGUUUUCCACAGCAUUUUAUAAGGCUUUCAGGCAAAUCUUCACACACCGUCAUUUCCUGAACUGUCUAAAAAGGACCAGAAGAGAGGUUUUUUCUGCAUAAUUUAGUGAAAUUGCAAUCAACAACCAAUGAUACUGAGGGAUUCCUGACUUCAGUUUUGCCAGUAAUUUUAAUUACUGACAUUAUUUGCUACAGGGAUGACAAUGUGUCUGGGUGGCCUGCCAAUUUAGUAAUUAUAGCAUAAAUUGGUUUUAUGAUUCCAAGGGCUUUCUUUGUGAAGCCAGUAUCUCUUUAGGAAGCUAAAUGAUUAGAUGUAACUUCCUGCUGGGAGAAUAAAUCCUUAGGGAGUCUGGCAAUCGGCAUCAUAGGCAUGUAAUGAUAGAUGAGGAGGGGUCAGAAAGCUUAGUAUGAAACCAUCACUGGGCCUCGGGAUAAUCUAGGCAAUAUUUGUCUAAAUGAAGCUUGCCAACCUAACAGCAUUAUGAAUGGUAGUCAAAUUAUCCUAUGACUGAUGUAUGGGAAAAUUUAAAGUUUAUCCAAGUGCUUAGGCUGCACACUACAGAACAUGCCAAGGACCCUGAAGCCUGAAAAGAAGGCUCAGUGGAUUCAAAAUGUGGCAUUUCUGGCUUAUCCAUUCAAGGUUGUUGAAAAAGAUGAAUCAGGUUCUAUGCCCUACCUGCUCAGGAGUCCUUUUUGGUGUACUCAAUAUAAUAUUAACAUAUAUGCUAUGUAUUAUGAGAAUCUUAGCCAAGUAAGGAAACAAGCAAUGAUUAAAUACUCUCACAACAACCUUGAGAGAUAGGUGUUAUUAUCCCCAUUUUACAGUUGGGGAAACAGAAGCAGAUAACAUUUAAAAGAUUUGCCCAGGGACACAGUUAACAAGUGUCAGGUCAAAUUUGAACCCAGGUCUUCUUGAUUCCAGACCCAACACUUUAUCCCCUGAGCUACCCAGUUGUCUUUCUAGAGAGAGCAGAGAGGGAGCCACCUUCAAAGCCAAGGAAAUCUGCAUUCAAGUCUUACUUCUGACACAUACUGGCUGCAUGACUCUGGAUAAAUUAUUUUAUUUCUCAGUCUUCUAGGAAACUCUUUUAAAGCUUCCCAGAAGAUGCUGACUUUAAUUAUUAAAGGGAUUUUCCUCCCUUAGAAUUUCCUUAUACUAAAGAAAUCACCGUUUCUUAUCCCUUGUGUUGAUCUGCUGCCGGUGCUCUUGCUGCUAUGUAUUGGGGAUGUGCAUUUGUACUGGACAGUACUUUGUAGUUUGUAUAAUUACCUGUGCCUGUGUUUUAUGAUAGUUUACAUAUGUGUACAAUGUAUGUUUGCAGAUGUUUUUGUUUGCCCCAUCUAAUCCCCAAUUCCCAGGAAAUUGGUAUCUUUUUUGUCCAUCGGCAAGGGACAUGUAAGCCCCUCUCAGCACUUUGGACUUUUGAGACACCCCCAUUCAUUCUUUUUAACUUCUCAGAUGGCAGGAUAUGGAAGAGAGAUGUUAUAUCCUCUAUUCAUGGAGGACAGAGGGAGUCACUGUAAAAUGCCUGGAUGUGCAUGGACCUCAGAUCUGAAAAAAUUGGACCCAAGAGCAGCUGGGGAUCAUCUCUCCUUUUUUCAUAUAUUGGUGAUAGUCAAAUGAUGCCACAUUGGUAGUAAUUUCUUUGGCAUUUAGGCAAUUUCAGUGUUGGAUUUCAAUGUGGGAUUGGAGAGAGAGACUUUGGAUUGGAGGUCUUGGGUAAUGACAGAAUUGAGAACCUGGGACCCGAGAAGAACACAUUUUUUUUUUCCAUGUAGCUCUCUCUGGCUUUGUGAAUCACUUAAACUUUAUUUGUGCUUUCUAAUUCUCUUGUGAAUUAAUGGACUAUACUCAACUCCCAAUUCAGGGGGAGAUGGCAGGGCUAUGACAAUUCAUUGAACUUAUUAACUUUCAACAUACUUUCUGUCCUAUAUUUAGAAGACUGAUAAAAGUGAAGUCAGACUCCAGCCUACAGGAUGUUUCUGCUUAGGGAGGGACUGGUCCAGUAAUUGGCUGCAAUGUAUAAUCUAUAUUACAUGUGUUAAUAUUUCUCCUUAUGCUAUACAUUUGCAAAGCUAAUUAAAUUAUGUAUUUAAAUUGUGAACUUGAGGGCAUCUAGAUAAUUGAAGCCACAUGAAAGAAAAAAAUUAUUAAAGGAAGCUGACCAAGUAGUUGGCGGCUGAAUCAGAAAUUGAUUAAGGCAUAUUCUUAGUUAGGAAUAUUCAAUGUAAUAAGGCUGAAGAGGGACAAGGGAAAGAAUGCUCACUGAUUAGCUGCUACAUGCCACCAGAUUCUGAUUGGUGACAGGAUCCAGAUGGCUAUAUUUUAUGCUUGUUACAUACAUAAAGGCCUUUUGUGAAAAUUUUGUUCUGUUACUUUCUAGGAAUCUAGAACAUGUCUAUUUGCCAAGAAAUAAAGCGAUAAGGUUACAUGUCCAAGCCAGCCAUUAGCAGCCUAAUUAAUUCAAACUAUCCCUCAGAUGACUUAGUAAAUAAGCAUAAUGAAUAAUAUGUAUCACAAUAUCUCUAGGAAAAUAAAUUUCAAAUUCCAACCAGGAAAACCAAGAAAGCAUAUAUUCACUAUUAUAGCUCUGUUACUAGGAAGCAGAUGCUUCCCUUCCUUCUGUUACUUUUUCUGCCAGACAGCUAGUAUGAAUAUACCUCCAGAUCCUUUCUCUGCCUUUUGGCUAAGAUCACGUGUAGCAUCAGAGCUAAGACACUGGAAAGGUUCCCUACAAUGAGGAAGCAAGGAGAGGAAUACAUUGAAGGAGAUCAUUCUGAAGGACAAGAGGUGGGAUAAUUGGAUCAGGGGUCUGGUAAAUAUUGAAUGAUGAUCAUGAGACAAAGUUUAUAUUCUCUUUGCUCUCACUUGUCUCUUCUUCCCUUUUUUCUUUUUCAUGGUUACUCAUCAAUAGUUAGCCAAUGAGAAUUUAUUGAUCCAGGUGCCAUUGACCUGUGCUGGUGAAUGUUUAGGAGUAGAGAUCAGAGGGAAUUUUCCAUCUAUUUUUUCUUCCCCUUGAUUUAACAGAUGAUUAGCCCUCUUCUACCCUGUAUUCUACUAUUGAAAUUAUGGAAAGACCAUAUAAUAUAAUCUGUUAGCUUAGACAAAGAGAAAAUGGCAAUUAAAAUCCCAUAAAUUAAUGUAUAUUUGCUUAAUAUUGAUUUUAUCUUUGAGAGCAAAAAUUGAAAUCUUGCUUGAUAUUUGCUAUUAAAAAUUCAGUCAGGCUAGUGGUUCUUUUUUCCCAUGUUAAGGGAAAAUAGGGGAGGAAUGGGAAUACUAAUGCUUUCAGGUAGAUUAGGAGAAUCCCUGUGAUUACCUAACUUGCAUUUUCAUUUUGUACAAUAGACGUAUGUUAAUGAAAAACUUUGAAACAUAAUAAAAAAUGCUUGAGUGAGCUCUGUUGAAGUAAUGAUACAUUUUGCUUUGUCAUGCCAUUUUAAGGGAAUUCAAAUUAUUGAAGUUAAGAAAAUUAGCUGGGAAAGGUCACUUCCCCCCUCACCAUCAUCAUCAUUGACAACAAUAACAACACCAUCAGAUAUUUUUUAAGUACUCUUCAGCCUACUAUACAUACAUACAUACACACACACACACAUACACACACACAUAUAUAUAUAUACAUAUAUAUAUAUAUAUGUAGCUCUAUUCUUGGGCAUAUUGAAGAAUACAAAAGUACAUGCUAAAAAUUCAUACUUCCAAGGAGCUUACAUUCUAGUUUAGAAAGCCAAUUCUUUAACAUGUGGGCAUGAAUGCAUGCUUUAAAACAAUUAUAAAUAACUGUAAAAUUAUAGGUUGUUGUAGACUAUAAAUACAAAAGGAGAUCAUUCCAAAAAAAGAGGUCAAAGUGGACUAGUGUAAUCAGGAAGGCUUAAUUUAGAAGAGUAUUUAGAUGCAUCAGGAGGGAUACAAAGGGCCAAAUAAGUGGAAAGGAGACACCUUGGGUAUUUGAUGUUAAUUAGGUGUGCACAGGAUCAAGAAGCCCUAUUUCUUUUCCAACUACUUCUUUCAGAAACUCUUUUGGAAAGGCCAGUUUAGCUGAAUUUUGAUAGACUCAUUACUGCAAACUGGAUAUCAAGUACUGAAUUUUUUUGACCGCUGUUAAUCAUGAAGACCAUUUACUUAAGUAUAGAGAGGUUGUGGUUUCUGUUGGUGAUAGGGAUACCUACAUCAAUAAAAUCCUAGGUCUUUGGAAUUAUUAAACUCUAACAGCAUACUUAUUUUGAGGCAUACCCUUAGUCAGUUAUCACAGGAAUUCAUACAUGGAUAUAGAAUUUUUUUUCUUUAUUCAAGAGAGAUUUUUAAAAGCUCCCAACAUACAAAGCUUGCUCUCUCAUUGUCAAAAUUACUUCUCCAUAGCUAUGAGAAUUAAAAAUAGUGUGGAAGGCUGAAGUAUUCUUUUUUCCCUUUACUCUAAAACAGCCUCUAAAAACAAUGAUACUCUCCUGUCUCUUAGAUUCACAAAAAGGUCAUUUUAAAGAAUGCUUAUUUGCUUUGUGUGAACAUGAAAACCAACAAAAUGUUACCCUGCAAAAAAUUAAAAAAAAAAACUCUUUUUGCUUUUAUUGUGGCAAUUGUUGUGUGAGGCUAAUUUAGAAAGUAUGCUUCUUGUGCUCUCUAAAGACUAAAAUCUGAUAUCCUUUAUUUUGAGUUUGGGAUUUUAAUUAUAAGUAAAGAGAACUAUGUAGUCAAUCUUUUCAUGAAAUGGCCUAAAUGUAAUAUCUCUCAAUGACUGUUAUUAUAUUAUGUAGCUUUAUAUCUUUUAUUAUCAACAGUAUAUUGCUAUAAUAUCCAUGUAAAUUUAUGAAAUAAAUAUCUACUGAAGCCCAUAUGAGAUUAUUCAUUAGCUUAGAUAAAGAGGAAAUAGCAUUUAAAAACCUCAUAAAUUAAUGUAUAUUUACUUAUUAUUGAUCUUAUCUUUAGAAACAAAAAUUGAAAGUGUAUUUGAUAUUUGUUACUAAAAUAAUUUGAUCAAAGAAAUUUGACAUUUUCUUUGUAAUUUGAUUAGAUAACUCUAAAGAUCCUUCAUUCUCUAGAGCUGUGGUUCAAUGGAUCUACUACAUAGUCUAGCCAAAAUAGGGUAGCUAGGCGAUACAAUAGAUAGAGUGCGAGACACAGAGUCAAGAAGAUUACUCUUUGUCAUUUCAAAUAUCUUCUCAGACACUUCCUAGCUGUAUGACCCUGGGAAAAUCACUUCAAUCUGUUUGCCUUUACUUGCCUUUACUGUAAAAUGAGCUAGAGAAGGAAAUGACAAAUUACUCUAACAUUUUUUCAAAAAAAAAAAAAAAACAAACCCACGUGGUUCAAGAAGAGUCAGAUAUGACUAAAAUGAUUGAAUACUAACAACUAAUUAAAUGAGCUGGUUUCUUUUAAUUUGAUUUUGUCUCCCUUUUACCUAGAUCAUGUAUCUACUUUGAUCUUAUCUAUGUAAUUGGCACAAAGCAUUGUUCUAUACCUAGUUUCUGCCAAACUUCUUUCCACUCUUCUUAGCAAUUUGACCACAUGGUGAAUUCUUAUCCCUCAAAAUUGGACCUUUCCUUUUGUCAAAUACAAAGUUACUGCUAUAUUUUACUGCUUUUGCUAUAUGUCUGUUCUAUUCCACUGUUCUACAUUUGUUUUUCUUAGCUAGUACCAGAUAGUUUUGGAUAAUUAUUGCUCUAUAAUACAAUUUAAAAUCUGGUACCAAUAGGGCACAUUCCUUUAUACUUUUUUUCAUUAAUUCCUAUUAUAUUUUUACUUUCUUUUCUUCUAAAUGAAAUUUUGUUUUUCAAUAUAUUUUUGAAUAUUAUUUUUUUGAAAUUUUGCAAUUCAUGUCCCCUCUCUCCCUCACACUUCUUUCUCCUCUUUAUGAAUGUAGGUAAUAUGAUAUUAUAUAUGUAUGUAUAUAUUAUUAUAUAAUACACAUUUUCCUGUUUGUCAUGAAAAAAGACAAAUCCUAAUUUUACUAGAGGAAAAUACAUGGAGGAAAUAUAGCAAAGAGUGGUAUAUUUCAAUUAGUAUUCAGACUGUGUUACUUUUAUGGUGGUACAUAUUCUUUUUUUGUUGUUGUUGUAAUCCUUUAAAAUUGGCCUAGAUUUUUGCCUAAUUGAUACUGGUUAAGUAAUUCAUAGUUGAUCAUCACACAUUAUUGUUGUUAUUAUGUAUAACAUUCUCCUUCCACUUAAUUUUGCAUCACAUUAUAGGAGUUUUUCCAAGUAUUUUUUUGCAAUUAUCUUGUUUGUCAUAUCUUGUGGCAAAAUAGUAUUCCAUUAUAAGCAUAGACCACAACUUGUACAGCCAUUCCCUAAUUGAUGGACACACCAUCAGUUUCCAGUUCUUUACCACCCCAAAAAGAACUCCUAAAAGUAUUUUAACAGGUGGGUUCUUUUUCCUCUAUCUUUAAUUUUUUUGGGAUAUAGAGUGGUAUUGCUGGGUCAAAGGAUAAGCAUGACUCUUUGGGCAUGGUUCCAGAUAUAGUUGUAUCAAUUGCAGCUCUACUAGUAAUAUAUUAGUGUCGUGCUGAUUUUUCCACAUUCCCUUCUCCAUUUAUCAUUUCCCUUUUUUGUGUUAAUAUAGUUUUAAUUUCUUCAUCUGAGAAUUGCUUGUUCAUAUCCUUUGAACAUUUGUCAAUUGGGACAUAUUUUGGAUUCUUAUAAAUUUGUCUCAGUUCUCAAUAUAAAUGAGAAAUGAAGCCUUUUUCAAAGAGACUGGCUAUAAAGAUUUUCCCCAGUUUGUUGUUUGCCUUUUAAUCUGGGUUGAAUUGUUUUGGUGUGAGCAGAAACUUUUAAAUUUAAUGUAGUCAAAAUUAUCAAUUUUAUAUCCCAUAAUAUUCUUUAUAUCUUGUUUUGACCUAAAGUCUUCACAUAUCCAUUGGCCUAACAGUAGACUAUUUUGUGCUUUUCUAAUUUGUAUUUGGUAUCACCAUUAUUUCUAAAUCAUGUGUUCAUUUUGACAAUGCCUUGGCAUAUGGUAUAAAGAGUUUGCCUGUGUCUAAUUUAUGCCAUUCAAUUUUUCAGAGUUCCAGGAAGAUUUUAUCAAAAACUAAGUUUUUUCCAAAAACUUGGAUUUGGCUUGACAAAAAUCUGGAUUACUAUGGUCAUUUACCAUGGUGUGUUGAGUGUCUAAUCUAUUCCACUUUCUGUCUUACUCAGUAUCAGAUUGUUUUGUUGGUUGCUACUUUAUAAGAUAGUUUAAGAUCUGUUAUAGCUAAGCCAAAUUCCUUCAUUUUUUUCAUUAAUUCCCUUAAUAUUCUAGCUAUUUUGUUCUUUCAUGUGAAUGUUGUUAUUUUUUUCACUCUA
Monodelphis domestica (gray short-tailed opossum) is the source of this 10399-nucleotide non-coding RNA. NCBI's taxonomy places the organism in Eukaryota, Metazoa, Chordata, Mammalia, Didelphimorphia, Didelphidae. The record is from RefSeq and is a predicted model, not a curated record.